AUACGGAAGGUGCGAGCGUUAAUCGGAAUUACUGGGCGUAAAGGGUUCGUAGGCUGCUAAGUCAGUCGGAUGUGAAAGCCCCGGGCUUAACCUGGGAAUGCCAUUCGAUACUGCUUGGCUAGAGUAUGACAGAGGAAAGCGGAAUUCCGCAUGUAGCGGUGAAAUGCGUAGAUAUGCGGAAGAACACCGACGGCGAAGGCAGCUUUCUGGAUCAAUACUGACGCUGAGGAACGAAAGCGUGGGGAGCAAACAGGAUUAGAAACCCCGGUAGUCC
Molecule: ribosomal RNA, 274 nt
Filed under: uncultured bacterium
Lineage: Bacteria
Description: partial 16S ribosomal RNA
Rfam family: Bacterial small subunit ribosomal RNA
Source: RNAcentral